UAGCUCAGAUGGUAAAGCAUCUGCCUGCAGUGCAGGAGACCCAGGUUUGAUUCCUAG
Molecule: transfer RNA, 57 nt
Filed under: Ovis aries (sheep)
Lineage: Eukaryota; Metazoa; Chordata; Mammalia; Artiodactyla; Bovidae
Rfam family: tRNA
About the family: Transfer RNA (tRNA) molecules are approximately 80 nucleotides in length.
Source: Rfam by way of RNAcentral